CAGAGUAGAAAUUUACGCGUGAAGUGCUUUCUGAACGGGGAGUUGUCAGAAAGACGAAAGUUUUAACUGCGGUGUAGAUUUCGCAUCCCACUGU
Molecule: non-coding RNA, 94 nt
Filed under: uncultured Ruminococcus sp.
Lineage: Bacteria; Bacillati; Bacillota; Clostridia; Eubacteriales; Oscillospiraceae
Description: THF riboswitch
Rfam family: THF (Tetrahydrofolate) riboswitch aptamer
About the family: THF riboswitch presents a pseudoknot that joins P1-P2 and the loop of P3 and two THF binding.
Source: RNAcentral